Molecule: ribosomal RNA, 242 nt
Filed under: uncultured bacterium
Lineage: Bacteria
Description: partial 16S ribosomal RNA
Rfam family: Bacterial small subunit ribosomal RNA
Source: RNAcentral
GAUCCUGGCUCAGGAUGAACGCUGGCGGCGUGCUUAACACAUGCAAGUCGAACGAAGCACUUUAAUUGAUUUCUUCGGAAUGAAGUUUUUGUGACUGAGUGGCGGACGGGUGAGUAACGCGUGGGUAACCUGCCUCAUAGAGGGGGAUAACAGUUGGAAACGAUUGCUAAUACCGCAUAAGCCCACAGUACCGCAUGGUACAGAGGGAAAAGAAUCAUCGCUAUGAGAUGGACCCGCGUUUG